GAUGAACGCUAGCUACAGGCUUAACACAUGCCAGUCGAGGGGAAACGCUGAGAGAGCUUGCUCUCUUAGGCGUCGACCGGCGCACGGGUGAGUAACGCGUAUCCAACCUACCCAUUACAGGGGGAUAACCUUGCGAAAGUAAGACUAAUACCCCAUGGCAUUUUAUGGUGGCAUCAUUAUAGGAUUAAAGAUUUAUUGGUAAUGGAUGGGGAUGCGUCUGAUUAGCUUGUUGGCGGGGUAACGGCCCACCAAGGCAACGAUCAGUAGGGGUUCUGAGAGGAAGGUCCCCCACAUUGGAACUGAGACACGGUCCAAACGCCUACGGGAGGCAGCAGUGAGGAAUAUUGGUCAAUGGGCGAGAGCUUGAACCAGCCAAGUAGCGUGCAGGAUGACGGCCCUAUGGGUUGUAAACUGCUUUUAGAGGGGAAUAAAGUGAGCUACGUGUAGUUUAUUGCAUGUACCCUAUGAAUAAGGACCGGCUAAUUCCGUG
RNAcentral lists this ribosomal RNA (490 nucleotides) under uncultured bacterium. RNAcentral's name for it is "partial 16S ribosomal RNA". It matches the Rfam family "Bacterial small subunit ribosomal RNA", at positions 28 to 507 of the family's 1533-position model. The record is from RNAcentral.